GUUGUUUAUUUAAAAAUGUAGUAAAUACGGCACAUAUGAAAUUAUUUGUAAAUGAAAUAUGUAUAGACUAUGAAUUUAAAGUUGGUAAAUCUGCUUGGAUAAAAAAAAUCGUCCCACGCACAUCUAAAACAAAUGAAAAUUGCUUCAUUGGUUGGAGCACUAAAUUAAUGAAAUGCAGAGUCACCAUGGGAAAAAAAAUCACAUUUACUUCACAUAGUCAUCUAAAAUUUGUUCAUAGGCACACAUUAAUCCUUUGUCAAAAGAUAUUCUUCAAAACAAGUAAAAAACAGCCAGUCUUCUUUAAUUAUAAGAGUACAGUUUCGGUAAAUGACAAUCUUCAGAUGUUCCUUUCUUCAAGAUACGAACAUAUUUCUACACAGUUAAUUUUGCUAAACAUCAGAGAAACAGAUAAAAAUAUCCUCCUGUUCUUGAACUUAAAUAUCACACACUUUUUCGGUGUGCACAUAUUUCAAGAAUUUAGCACUUCAAGUAAAGUCAUUUGGCUAACAACAUUCAGUGGUACGAUUAAUUCCAUAUCUGUAAAAGAAAAUAAAAGUUGUAAAUACACAAGAACCACUCGCGCUAUCAAAAUUACAGUAUGUGAUAACGUUAAUGUUUACAAAAUACCAGACGUUUUCGGAAAGUCAG
This 648-nucleotide long non-coding RNA is filed under the name Mytilus galloprovincialis (Mediterranean mussel). Lineage: Eukaryota; Metazoa; Mollusca; Bivalvia; Mytilida; Mytilidae. The record is from RNAcentral.